This 467-nucleotide ribosomal RNA is filed under the name uncultured bacterium. RNAcentral describes it as "partial 16S ribosomal RNA". It matches the Rfam family "Bacterial small subunit ribosomal RNA", at positions 28 to 507 of the family's 1533-position model. The record is from RNAcentral.
GACGAACGCUGGCGGCGUGCUUAACACAUGCAAGUCGAACGGAAAGGCCCUGCUUUUGUGGGUUGCUCGAGUGGCGAACGGGUGAGUAACACGUGAGUAACCUGCCCUUGACUUUGGGAUAACUUCAGGAAACUGGGGCUAAUACCGGAUAGGAGCUCCUGCUGCAUGGUGGGGUUGGAAAGUUUCGGCGGUUGGGGAUGGACUCGCGGCUUAUCAGCUUGUUGGUGGGGUAGUGGCUUACCAAGGCUUUGACGGGUAGCCGGCCUGAGUGGGUGACCGGCCACAUUGGGACUGAGAUACGGCUCAGACUCCUACGGGAGGCAGCAGUGGGGAAUAUUGCACAAUGGGCGGAAGCCUGAUGCAGCAACGCCGCGGGCGGGAUGACGGCCUUCGGGUUGUAAACCGCUUUCGCCUGUGACGAAGCGUGAGUGACGGUAAUGGGUAAAGAAGCACCGGCUAAAUACGUG